AUAUAAAUAUGAUUAUUUUUCUAGAA
RNAcentral lists this transfer RNA (26 nucleotides) under Cuerna semibulba. RNAcentral's name for it is "partial tRNA-Leu". Lineage: Eukaryota; Metazoa; Arthropoda; Insecta; Hemiptera; Cicadellidae. RNAcentral also lists the same sequence under 1 other name. The record is from RNAcentral.